CGCAAGCCUGACGGAGCAACGCCGCGUGUGGGAAGAAGGCUCUUGGGCUGUCAACCACUUUUCUCAGGGAAGAAGCCCUGACGGUACCUGAGGAAUCAGCCUCGGCUAACUCCGUGCCAGCAGCCGCGGUAAUACGGAGGAGGCAAGCGUUAUCCGGAAUUAUUGGGCGUAAAGCGCCCGCAGGGGGCACAUCAAGUCUGCUGUUAAAGGCUGGAGCUUAACUCCGGUAGAGCAGUGGAAACUGGUGUGCUAGAGGGCGACAGGGGUAGAGGGAAUUCCCAGUGUAGCGGUGAAAUGCGUAGAGAUUGGGAAGAACACCGGUGGCGAAAGCGCUCUACUGGGUCGCACCUGACCCUCAGGGACGAAAGCUAAGGUAGCG
RNAcentral lists this ribosomal RNA (379 nucleotides) under uncultured cyanobacterium. RNAcentral describes it as "bacterial SSU rRNA". It matches the Rfam family "Bacterial small subunit ribosomal RNA", at positions 376 to 770 of the family's 1533-position model. The record is from RNAcentral. Lineage: Bacteria; Bacillati; Cyanobacteriota.